CAACCUUUGCACACUCUGGCCCUUACCGUCCCUUCCCGCCUCCGGGCCUGGAUUGGACCUUUAUGUGGUAUAGGCUUAUUUUUCGCAAAGAAGAUAAAAUCUUCGACCCGCUACUCACCGCGGUAACCUCUGUGGCAAGCUUGCUUGUCCUUGUGGUUACAGUGGUCCAUGUUUUCGGUCAACAU
RNAcentral lists this small nucleolar RNA (185 nucleotides) under Aspergillus ruber CBS 135680. Its description in RNAcentral is "Small nucleolar RNA snR80". It matches the Rfam family "Small nucleolar RNA snR80". The record is from Rfam by way of RNAcentral. Lineage: Eukaryota; Fungi; Ascomycota; Eurotiomycetes; Eurotiales; Aspergillaceae.